CUUGUUCCUGCUCCCUCCAUCUGCUAUUUCCCGCUCACUCCAUCCAGUCCCGACAACGAAGUCAACCAUAGCAAUCCUCGAAGUCGACCGUAGCAAUCCGCGAAGUCGACAUCUGCUAGUUCAGCUCCACCUCCUUCCUAUUUUUCUUCCUCCUCCGUUGCUCAGAUCCUAAACUCUAAUACCCAGAAAUCAAUCAGAUCUGUUCAUCUCUCACUUUUUGGACUGCAUCUUGUUGAUCUCCACUCUCAAAACAGAGAUUGUUCACUGUUGAAGAAUUGGCUUUGUAUAAUGGGACUGAUCAAAGUUUGCCAGUCUUGUUAGGAAUUGGGGUCGGUUUUUGAUCGAUGUGGUGAAAGGAAAGUCUCAUUACGAUGAGGGUGGGGG
Long non-coding RNA from Rosa chinensis, 384 nucleotides. RefSeq lists it as uncharacterized. The transcript is spliced from 3 exons. Lineage: Eukaryota; Viridiplantae; Streptophyta; Magnoliopsida; Rosales; Rosaceae. The record is from RefSeq and is a predicted model, not a curated record.